RNAcentral lists this ribosomal RNA (254 nucleotides) under uncultured bacterium. RNAcentral describes it as "partial 16S ribosomal RNA". It matches the Rfam family "Bacterial small subunit ribosomal RNA", at positions 524 to 776 of the family's 1533-position model. The record is from RNAcentral.
UACGGGGGGGGCAAGCGUUGUUCGGAUUUACUGGGCGUAAAGGGCGCGUAGGCGGCCUCCGCAAGUCAGUUGUGAAAUCUCCGAGCUUAACUCGGAAAGGUCAACUGAUACUGCGGGGCUAGAGUGCGGAAGGGGCAACUGGAGUUCUUGGUGUAGCGGUGAAAUGCGUAGAUAUCAAGAGGAACACCUGCGGCGAAGGCGGGUUGCUGGGCCGACACUGACGCUGAGGCGCGAAAGCUAGGGGAGCGAACGGG